CGGAGUUAGCCGGUGCUUUCGCUGGAAAUACCGUCAUUAUCGUCUUCCCUAACGGUGGUUUACGUUCGCAAGAACUUCAUCCCACACGCGGGGUGGCUGCAUCAGACUUUCGUCCAUUGUGCAAUAUUCCUCA
This 133-nucleotide ribosomal RNA is filed under the name uncultured bacterium. RNAcentral's name for it is "partial 16S ribosomal RNA". The record is from RNAcentral.